GGCUGCUCUGAAGGUAGUGAGUUAUCUCAGUUGAUUUUCACAGUUAGCUACAGGUUGAACUUCUUGCUCUACUGUUUUCUCCCUUGUCACUUCUGUGCUUGAUUAGUCUUAA
This is an unclassified non-coding RNA of Chlorocebus sabaeus (green monkey), 112 nucleotides long. It matches the Rfam family "Y RNA". Rfam says of the family: Y RNAs are components of the Ro ribonucleoprotein particle (Ro RNP), in association with Ro60 and La proteins. The Y RNAs and Ro60 and La proteins are well conserved, but the function of the Ro RNP is not known. In humans the RNA component can be one of four small RNAs -- hY1, hY3, hY4 and hY5. Lineage: Eukaryota; Metazoa; Chordata; Mammalia; Primates; Cercopithecidae. The record is from Ensembl.